CCAGAUCCUGGGUAGGCUGGCGAGGGAACCGGUUUUCCUCCUCCCCAGCGAGUGGGGACCGGGUGGGGAGAGCCCCGCCUUCCCAGCGCUCCGCCUCGCCCCGCGCAGGCCGCUCCUUUCCAGAGGAAGCAUCUAGAACAGAACGCAGGCACCGGCUUGCGAACGCUGGACGACGACUUCCCGAGGCCGUGUGGUGUGUAAACAGAACUGUUGUCAAUCAAGUCGCGUCUGGAACUUCUGUCCAUGUUGAGAACCACCUUACAUUCCUUACUCAAUGGACUAACAAAGACAAAGCAGCCCAACUAAGAGUGAAAUAAUUUAAGCAACUGUGCAAAUUUGCAAGAAAGCGUGGCCAACAGAAAGCCUUCAUCCUCUGUAUUUACACUGGCAAGAAUCUUCAGAAGAAGAGUUCCUGGAGAGAAACUCUGAAAGCAGAGGAAACCAAACACACUGUACAUGUAGAGUUACCCAUGGACUGGGAAAAGACACAGGACUUCUCCUUGAGGGAAGGGAGAUAAAUGGCUGCCUGUUUGAGGAACACAACUGCAUGCAUUCACUCCUGUGAAAGAAAUUCAUUUAAGAGCAAUUGGGUUAGAAAUGGAGAUUUAGGGCUUCCCUGGUGGCGCAGUGGUUAAGAAUCCGCCUGCCAAUGCAGGGCACUCAGGUUCAAGCCCUGGUCCGGGAAGAUCCCACAUGCUGCGGAGCGCCUAAGCCCGUGCGCCACAACUACUGAGCCUGCGCGCUAGAGCCCGGGAACCACAACUACUGAGCCUGUGCGCCUAGAGCCCGUGCUCUGCAACAAGAGAAGUCACAGCAAUGAGAAGCCUGCGCACCUCAACGAACAGUAGCCCCUGCUCACCACAACUAGAGAAAGCUGUCGCGCAGCAACAAAGACCCAACGAAGACAAAAAUAAAUAAAAAUAAAUAAAUUUAAAAAAAGAAAUGGAGAUUUACACAGAUGGGUUUAAAGAAGAGGAGCGUGUAAGAGACAGUCAAGAUGUACAUCAGUCAUUUGCUGCAAAACUGUGAACAGUAUUGGCGAAUUAGGAUACAAUGUGAAGUGGAAAAAUGGGCCACUAACUUGUAAUUAAACUAUGAUUGCACUUAUGUUAAAUAUGUGUAUUAUGGACAAAGACUGAUCAGGAAUCCAGAGAAAUUAACAUAGUUAUUGCGUUAAUGUAGUGACAUUGUUUUUCAUUGUUUAAAUUGUGUGGGUGUGAAUGUGAUGGAGAGCUUGUGUAUUGAGUCUGAUAGUAAGACAGUAACACAAAGAAUCAGUAAGCGGGUGUUUAAGUUUCACAUGCCAUGCCAGCUGUGAACUUAACCUCUCCGAGCCUCAGUGCUUUUAUAUAGAAAGUGGGAAUAAUAGCACCUGCCCUGCACUAAUAGGGUAGUGAAAACACUCUGUAAAUUGAAAGUGUCGUGGGAGAUUGUGUGAGGCAUUCAGAAGAUCAGAGUACUGUAUAGACCAGACACUUAAAAAGUCCAGAACUCAAAAAGUUAUCCCUAAUCUCUUGUCUCAGCAGUCAUGCGGGAGCUGGACAACAUGUUAUAUCAUAGUUGCAC
Molecule: long non-coding RNA, 1566 nt
Organism: Lagenorhynchus albirostris (white-beaked dolphin)
Lineage: Eukaryota; Metazoa; Chordata; Mammalia; Artiodactyla; Delphinidae
Exons: 3
Source: RefSeq, a predicted model, not a curated record